ACUCAAAUGAAUUGACGGGGGCCCGCACAAGCGGUGGAGCGUGUGGUUUAAUUCGAUGAUAAGCGAGGAACCUUACCAGGGCUUGAAAUUCAGCUGCAUAUUUUUGGAAACAAAAAUAGCCUACGAGGGUGCUGAACAGGUGCUGCACGGUUGUCGUCAGCUCGUGCUGUGAAGUGUUCCCUUCAGUGGGGUAACGAGCGCAACCCCUAUCAUGUGUUGCUUAUCACAUGAGACUGCCGUGGUUAACACGGAGGAAGGUGGGGAUGACGUCAAAUCAGCGUGGUCCUCUGACGCUCUGGGCGACACACGCGCUACAAUGGCUGGGACAAUGAGCUGUAUGCAAACCCGCAAGGGGAAGCGAAUCUUCUAAACCCAGUCUCAGUUCGGAUUGGAGGCUGCAACUCGCCUCCAUGAAGCUGGAAUCGCUAGUAACCGUGAAUCAGCCACGUCACGGUGAAUACGUUCUCGGGCUUUGUACACACCGCCCGU
RNAcentral lists this ribosomal RNA (489 nucleotides) under uncultured bacterium. RNAcentral describes it as "partial 16S ribosomal RNA". It matches the Rfam family "Bacterial small subunit ribosomal RNA", at positions 899 to 1397 of the family's 1533-position model. The record is from RNAcentral.